AUUGAACGCGGGCGGCAUGCCUUACACAUGCAAGUCGAACGGUAACAGGUCUUCGGAUGCUGACGAGUGGCGAACGGGUGAGUAAUACAUCGGAACGUGCCCGAUCGUGGGGGAUAACGAAGCGAAAGCUUUGCUAAUACCGCAUACGAUCUACGGAUGAAAGCAGGGGACCGCAAGGCCUUGCGCGAACGGAGCGGCCGAUGGCAGAUUAGGUAGUUGGUGGGAUAAAAGCUUACCAAGCCGACGAUCUGUAGCUGGUCUGAGAGGACGACCAGCCACACUGGGACUGAGACACGGCCCAGACUCCUACGGGAGGCAGCAGUGGGGAAUUUUGGACAAUGGGCGAAAGCCUGAUCCAGCCAUGCCGCGUGCAGGAUGAAGGCCUUCGGGUUGUAAACUGCUUUUGUACGGAACGAAAAGACUCUGGUUAAUACCUGGGGUCCAUGACGGUACCGUAAGAAUAAGCACCGGCUAACUACGUGCCAGCAGCCGCGGUAAUACGUAGGGUGCAAGCGUUAAUCGGAAUUACUGGGCGUAAAGCGUGCGCAGGCGGUUAUAUAAGACAGAUGUGAAAUCCCCGGGCUCAACCUGGGAACUGCAUUUGUGACUGUAUAGCUAGAGUACGGCAGAGGGGGAUGGAAUUCCGCGUGUAGCAGUGAAAUGCGUAGAUAUGCGGAGGAACACCGAUGGCGAAGGCAAUUCCCUGGGCCUGUACUGACGCUCAUGCACGAAAGCGUGGGGAGCAAACAGG
This 751-nucleotide ribosomal RNA is filed under the name uncultured Comamonadaceae bacterium. RNAcentral's name for it is "bacterial SSU rRNA". It matches the Rfam family "Bacterial small subunit ribosomal RNA", at positions 28 to 776 of the family's 1533-position model. The record is from RNAcentral. Lineage: Bacteria; Pseudomonadati; Pseudomonadota; Betaproteobacteria; Burkholderiales; Comamonadaceae.